Molecule: long non-coding RNA, 511 nt
Filed under: Vulpes vulpes (red fox)
Lineage: Eukaryota; Metazoa; Chordata; Mammalia; Carnivora; Canidae
Description: lncRNA (ENSVVUG00000027312.1)
Source: RNAcentral
AUGCCACCUCCCGGAGCAAAGGGGGCUGUAGAUCUUCGCCAACGGUGGGGGCGGGGGGGUAAGCAUCCCGUCCAUCACAGGCGGCCUAACCGGUCCCCAGCUUUGCAGGGGAAGAGAAGGGCAGGCUGCCCGCCCUGGGCCGCCCGGCCACCCGCGCAUGCGCGGAGCUGGCGCCGCCACCAAACAUCUUCUAGACGCUCAUCAGUGGCGUCCCGAUCCUGUCCUUUUAUCUCCGGUUGUGCCUCGUGCUGCAUCCAAAGCAGUUUCGGAAUCUGUAGGCUGCUGGAGGACGAUGGGGUUGGAAAGAAACGAGUUUUCAGGUGGCAGUGACCGAUGUUUAGUCUCACUUAUUUUCUCUGAUGACUCAACACAGUAAAUAAGACGGUCUGUUUGGAAAAGCCCUGCAGUAAAUCAUCCUGAAAAAGUAAAAGCUUAUUUAUUGAUUUGAUAACUUUUCUGUUUUACUCUUCUAGCUUUAUAUUUUGUAAUAAAGCGUCUUUAAAAUGUAGCA